Molecule: ribosomal RNA, 282 nt
Filed under: uncultured bacterium
Lineage: Bacteria
Description: partial 16S ribosomal RNA
Rfam family: Bacterial small subunit ribosomal RNA
Source: RNAcentral
GCCUACGGGGCGCAGCAGUGAGGAAUAUUGGUCAAUGGGCGGAAGCCUGAACCAGCCAAGUCGCGUGAGGGAAUAAGGCCCUACGGGUCGUAAACCUCUUUUGCCGGGGAGCAAGGGCCUGGACGCGUCCCGGCCCGGAGAGUACCCGGAGAAAAAGCAUCGGCUAACUCCGUGCCAGCAGCCGCGGUAAUACGUAGGUGGCGAGCGUUGUCCGGAUUUACUGGGCGUAAAGGGAGCGUAGGCGGAUUUUUAAGUGAGAUGUGAAAUACUCGGGCUCAACUU